This 50-nucleotide transfer RNA is filed under the name Splachnum rubrum. RNAcentral describes it as "partial tRNA-Leu". The record is from RNAcentral. Lineage: Eukaryota; Viridiplantae; Streptophyta; Bryopsida; Splachnales; Splachnaceae.
AAAAUCCGUUGGCUUUAGUGAUCGUGAGGGUUCAAGUCCCUCUACCCCCA